UUUAAGCUUCCUACGGGAGGCUGCAGUGGGGAAUAUUGGACAAUGGGCGCAAGCCUGAUCCAGCCAUGCCGCGUGUGUGAAGAAGGCCUUUUGGUUGUAAAGCACUUUAAGCGAGGAGGAGGCUACUUGGAUUAAUACUCUAGGAUAGUGGACGUUACUCGCAGAAUAAGCACCGGCUAACUCUGUGCCAGCAGCCGCGGUAAUACAGAGGGUGCGAGCGUUAAUCGGAUUUACUGGGCGUAAAGCGUGCGUAGGCGGCUUCUUAAGUCGGAUGUGAAAUCCCUGAGCUUAACUUAGGAAUUGCAUUCGAUACUGGGAAGCUAGAGUAUGGGAGAGGAUGGUAGAAUUCCAGGUGUAGCGGUGAAAUGCGUAGAGAUCUGGAGGAAUACCGAUGGCGAAGGCAGCCAUCUGGCCUAAUACUGACGCUGAGGUACAAGUAGCAUGGGGAGCAAACAGGAUUAGAUACCCUGUAGUCGAAUUCUU
This 483-nucleotide ribosomal RNA is filed under the name uncultured bacterium. RNAcentral's name for it is "bacterial SSU rRNA". It matches the Rfam family "Bacterial small subunit ribosomal RNA", at positions 329 to 803 of the family's 1533-position model. The record is from RNAcentral.